Non-coding RNA from Nicotiana sylvestris (wood tobacco), 125 nucleotides. Lineage: Eukaryota; Viridiplantae; Streptophyta; Magnoliopsida; Solanales; Solanaceae. The record is from Rfam.
AGCCACGCAGUGAGCACAAAGCGAACUAUUCUAUCGCCUUUUACUAAAGAAUACUGUGUGCGCUGCAUAGGGGUUCUCAAUUUGAGUGCCCCCAAUAAUUCAAGUAUAAUAUUUAAGAGUUGUUU